Alexandromys fortis (reed vole) is the source of this 3393-nucleotide long non-coding RNA. RefSeq lists it as uncharacterized. Lineage: Eukaryota; Metazoa; Chordata; Mammalia; Rodentia; Cricetidae. The transcript is spliced from 3 exons. The record is from RefSeq and is a predicted model, not a curated record.
CUCUCGGGUAAUAACAAAUAUCUGUACUAGGUACUUGGGUGGUAAGAGCAAUGGACAGGAGUAAGAGAAAUCUCUGAAUCAGGGAGGGAGCUUCCAUUUCAGCCUGGGGAAACACACCACACAAGAACACUAAGUGUGCGUGUAUGAGAGACAGAGACAGACAGAGAGAAUGGAUGGGAACAACAGAGGCUAUGGCAAAAGAAGGAAGGAGAAGAGACUGGAGUGGGGGUCACCCUCUCAUUUUAAGUGUUCUAAGUAGGGUAAAGCUGUCUGUGUAUCUCCUGGAGAGAGACCAUUCGUCGGGCAGCAGUGUGCCCAAGCAUGGAGAGUAAGCUGGGAAGUAGCACACCCAAGGGUGACCUAUAAUGAUCUGAAUGAAAAUGGCCCCCAUAGACCCAUAGGGAGUGGCACUAUUAAGAGGUGUGGCCUUGUUGGAGUAGGUGUGGCUUGUUGGAAGAAGUGUGUCACUGGAGGGCUCCGAAGUUUCAGAAGCUCAAGCCAGACCUAAUGGUUCCCUCUCUUCCUGCUGCCUGCUGAUCCAGAUGUAGAACUCUUGGCUCCUCCAGCACCAUGUCCGCCUGAGUGCUGGCAUGCUUUCCACCAUGACGACAAAGGAGAAACCGCUGAACUGUAAGCCAGCCCCAGUUAAAUGUUUACCUUUUUAGGAGUUGCUGUGGUCAUGGUAUCUCUUUCACAGCAAUAAAACCCUAACUAAGUCACUAGCCCGAGCUGGGUUGGGUUGCUGGCUCAGGCCCAAGUGCGCUACCAAAGUCUUUUCCAUUCUAGUCUUUCCUCCAUUUCCUUCUCUGCUUUCUCCGCUAGAAUGCUCACCUGGGCUGGCUUCCACUUGCUGAGACUGACCAGGGAGAAUGAGACCUGGCAUGUUAAGUGGCUCCCGGGGUGGGAUAGCCUGCCUGCUGCGAGGUCUCAGAAGCUCACUCACCCUGUUACUCCAGGCCACUCACCCUGGUCCCAGUGUUACUCAAGCAGGCCCAGCUCUGCAAGCUGCAGGCCCUUUGCCCUUUCUGGUCCCUCCAUCUAGAACAUUCUCUCCUCAGGUCCUCACAGGACUGGCUCCUCCACUACAUGUACACGUCUGCUGGUGUGCUACCCUGAGACCUGGCCCAGGAAAGGAACAGGAAUCUAAAAUUUGCCGUGUGAAUGCUUGAAAGAGUUGCUUUUCUUGGAUGUGGAAAAGCAUGUUCAUCUUUACGAAUGCAAAAAGGGCAUUUAAAAACAAGGCACUCACAUGGCUAAUACUGUUUGGUCAAAAGUGAGACCCCAGCCCUCUAACACCCCUAUUUCCAAAGAGUCUGGAAUGUAAGAUUGUGUUGGAAGUGUCACCCCAGCCCCUGCCCUGGGAAUUGUCAAGCACUUGAACUCCAAUUCCCAGCCUGCCAAGCGCUGACCCCUCCCCAGGGAGGGUCAGGACCACUCCCACAGGGUAUUUAGGCUCCUGCUGGAAGAAGGAACAUGUGGUUUUUGGGUUUUGCAUGUGUUCUCCUCAGUCUUCCCCCCUGCCAUGCUCCUGGCCACCCGAGAGCGCGGCAUUCAUUAACCGUGGGCAUUUUUGAUUCGGUCUAAUCUGGCCUGAUUAGAGUUCUUUGCGCCUAGGCUCGGUUAGGAAAUAUUCCUAACAAAUACUUUUAAUGCUGACUAAUACAAUGCUAGCAGAGUUCAAACAGACCUCUCAUAACAUAGCACACGGCACUCACGGAGAGGCAGCUUCCACUACAAAGACUAUGGGGCACAGCACUAUGCACAGGCACUCUGAGGCAACAGACUUAGAUGGGCACGUCUAGCUCCCACCACUGGACCAGACAUCCCCUACGAUGGACCAGAGUAAUGGGUACCUUCCAGGCCUCACUGCCAAGUAGGAAACCACAAAUGACUAAUUUAUGAACCAAAACAGGAGCCGAGAAGGCAGCAGGCACCGCUGGGGGCCCAGAGCAGGUCCACACCCUGAGUGCCUGCUCACUCCUCAAGUAUGUGUUUGCAGUGAUAAGCCAACUCUUACUGUGUUUAAAGAUGGGAUUAGUUAAACUAUGUUAAGUACAGUAGCGACUCCUUUAUCUGGGGGGGGGGGGUGAUGGAAGCCACAGAUAGCCCGAACCCCUGCCUCUGUGGUGCUCUUUCCUGUGCAAACAAUACCUGCGAUAAGGCUUCAUUUCUAAGCCAGGUAUGGUGAGAGAUUACAGGACCAACGAGAAGACAGCAGGCUCCACAACACCCUGCAACCCUGUGAAUGGAGUUUUCCAUUUGAUGUGGCCAAUACCAGAAGCAACUGAAAUGGAGGAAAAGUCGGAUGGAGGAAGAGAGCUGCUCAGGCUAAACAUCUGCACUGUGCCCUCUCCCACAAAGGACUUAGGCCAGCUCCUGCAAACACCAACACUGAAAGACCUUCAGAAUAUGGCAUCUGCUCCUGGCAGCACAAGCUACUUCAAAAGGAAGAUGGGCAUUGAAGAGGCUCCUUAUGGAGUUUGUUAGCCAUUUGGGCAAGAAUCUUCUCUUGCCUGGACUACUUGAUAAACUGAACAUGCAGGACCUACAGAAAAAUGACUGCUGAACUUGCCUAAAGCUGCGAUGUGAACACUCCCUCCUCCUCCUGCGAAGCGUCCAGCUCCUCACCCCAACCCUGCCUGCUGAGCUUCACCAUUUCCACCUCAGAGGGGGAGGCUAAGCUCCCAGAGACUAGCGAACUUCCUGCUGCCUCCACGGAACAGCUCUAGGGUGGGUGACAGAAUGAGGGAGUGGGUCUCAGACUGAACUCAGGCCUCAGUGUAUAUUCUGAGUUGCCUGAGAUGCCUUCUCUGCUCUGGGUCUGUCUCAAUUCAGACAUUCCCUCCUGCAGGAAGCUGCAAGGCUGAGAAGAGUCAGGAAGCCAAAUGAAAUGGAAAAGACAUACAAAACUGAAGACUCAGCAGAUUUGAAACUUACAAGACUCAAGGCCCUGUCCCGAGGUUUUAAGGGCGGUGAAUACCCACUAAGGGGGAGAAGGGGUGAUGGAACUGUCUGCACGCCAUACAGGAGGCCACAGGAAAGAACCUUUCGAAGUCAUCACCCACGCUGGGUGGGAUUUUCAGUGAGGCAGCUGCCUUUGACUCACCCAUGAUCCUCUAGGGAACCCCAGUAAAAUCACUGGCUCACCAAGCUGGAUUUGGGCAGAGUCAUUUUUUUUUUGUUUGUUUUCUCUCUGUCAUCGGUGCCCUAUCUGGGUGGAAGAGAUGUAUGUUUGUAUCUUCCAAAGGAGUCAGACAGCAGCAUGCCAUGCAAGACAGCGAAUAUGUUGAACGGUUCACAGUCACCAAACCAUAGUUAACUCCUCCUUCCCAUAAUGCUCUGCUUGUACAGAACCCAGCAGAGGGCAUGAAAAUGACCCUUAUAAAAAGUGCA